This 492-nucleotide ribosomal RNA is filed under the name uncultured bacterium. Its description in RNAcentral is "partial 16S ribosomal RNA". It matches the Rfam family "Bacterial small subunit ribosomal RNA", at positions 28 to 507 of the family's 1533-position model. The record is from RNAcentral.
GAUGAACGCUGGCGGCGUGCCUAAUACAUGCAAGUCGAACGGACAGAUAAUAAGCUUUCUCCUCUACCGGUAGCGACUGACGGGCGGGUAACACGUAGAUAACCUACCUCUAAUUCUUGGAUGACUUCGUAAAACCGGUUCUACUACCACCUAAUAUGUUGUACCGCAUGGUUCAAUAGUUAUACACAGCUUUCCCGUCACUUUGAGACGAAUCCGGAUUAGCUAGUUGGCUGGGUAAAGGCCCACCAAGGCAACGCUCCGUAGCUGGUCUGAGAGGAUGAUCAGCCACACUGGAACUGAGACACGGUCCAGACUCCUACGGGAGGCAGCAGUGGGGAAUAUUGGGCAAUGGGCGCAAGCCUGAUCCAGCCAUGCCGCGUGAGUGAAGAAGGCCUUCGGGUUGUAAAGCCCUGUUGUUAGGGAAGAAAAGCAGCAUGUGAAUACCCCGCUGUUCUGACGGUACCCAAAGAGUAAGCACCGGCUAACUACGUG